This 253-nucleotide ribosomal RNA is filed under the name uncultured bacterium. RNAcentral describes it as "partial 16S ribosomal RNA". It matches the Rfam family "Bacterial small subunit ribosomal RNA", at positions 524 to 776 of the family's 1533-position model. The record is from RNAcentral.
UACGAAGGGGGCUAGCGUUGCUCGGAAUCACUGGGCGUAAAGGGUGCGUAGGCGGGUCUUUAAGUCAGGGGUGAAAGCCCACGGCCCAACCGUGGAAGUGCCUUUGAUACUGCCUGUCUCGAGGGAGGUAGGGGCGUGCGGAACUUCCGGUGGAGCGGUGAAAUGCGUAGAUAUCGAGAGGAACACCUGCGGCGAAGGCGGGUAGCUGGGCCGACACUGACGCUGAGGCGCGAAAGCCAGGGGAGCGAACGGG